CGAAAUGCGAUACGUAGUGUGAAUUGCAGAAUUCCGUGAACCAUCGAAUCUUUGAACGCAUAUUGCGCCCGAGACUUCGGUCAAGGGCAUGUCUGCCUCAGCGUCGGGUUAAUAUCACUCUCCUAAUCCCUGGUGGAUUAGUUAAACUGAGUGGACCUGGCUGUUCCAGAGUUUCAGUGGCGGAUGCUACCGAAAGCUGGAUCAGCUGAAGAACAGAGGUUAGCACAAGGACCCGUUAAGGGCCGCAAUUGGGUAGGCAGUUUACUGCUUCUAAUUGUUGGCUUGGGACCAUGAGCUCGACCCUCUAAUCAGGAACCAAGGUAUAAUAACCCUUAUUUUCUCGACCUGAGCUCAGGCAAGAACACCCGCUGAACUUAAGC
RNAcentral lists this unclassified non-coding RNA (380 nucleotides) under plant metagenome. RNAcentral's name for it is "partial contains 5.8S ribosomal RNA, internal transcribed spacer 2, and large subunit ribosomal RNA". The stretch from base 1 to 106 matches the Rfam family "5.8S ribosomal RNA", at positions 49 to 154 of the family's 154-position model. The record is from RNAcentral.